This is a long non-coding RNA of Mus musculus (house mouse), 6006 nucleotides long. RefSeq annotates it as predicted gene, 38631. The transcript has 4 exons. Lineage: Eukaryota; Metazoa; Chordata; Mammalia; Rodentia; Muridae. The record is from RefSeq and is a predicted model, not a curated record.
UAAAACAUUUUAUUAGCAUAUAUCAAUUACACAUAAUGAUGGGUGUCAUUAUGGCAUUUCAUGCAUGUGCAUAAUGAAUGUAUUUCGGUUAUAUUUUCCCCCAUUGUUCUCUCAGCUCAUUAUCGUUCCUGCUAAGCCCCUUAUUUCCAAUAUGCGCUGUUCUUAUGCAUGGCCAAACUACCUCUCUCUUUCUAGUUGGUUCUUUCUAAAUAAGCUCCUCUCUGCCUUAAUGAUACAUAUAUUCCAUUACUCUCCCUGUAGGUCUCUUCCUACCCAUCAUUGUCCCUUUCCUUCUUCUAUGUCAUACACACACACACACACACACACACACACACACACACACACACACACACACACAUCUGUUGGUGGGAGUCUAUAGGUGAAUAUGCAGGUGUGACCUUGCAGCCAACCUACCUGGCACACUGUGCUUAUAAAUGAGAAUCAUGUUCUUGAGUUAUCCCAGAAGUUAGACCGCUGGAUUUUGAAGUAGUAUGAAUAGUGAGCUGGUAAUGGCCUGCUGAGGUCUGUACCUUCCAUGUCUUUUAUGUGCUUCUUCUACAUACCCUGGUGAUAUGAGUACUCACUGUGCAGUUCGAGGUAAUGUGAUAACCAAUCACUGCUAGUAGGCUUCCACUAUAUAAGCAGUUGUUUACAUGCAAUAAAGCAGAAGCCAUUCCCUGAAACCACCUCUAUCCAGAGUGGUUCAUCUCUGCACCCUUUACGGACCCACGAGUAUUGCUGUCUUAUUGGAGAACACCCUGUACUGUUGGCAGAUGUCUAGGCUAGUUCCAUGUCGUGGCUGUUGCUGCAUAUCUUGGCUGCAGUGAACAUGGAUGUGGGGGCCCUUCUGAAAGAUGACUUAGAAUCCUUCAGGUAUAUACCCAAGAAUGGUAUAGCUGGAACAUACAGCAUUUCUAUUUUUAGUUUUUGAUAAAUACAUGCUGAUUUUCAUAGUGGAUGCUUUUGACAACUGUAUACAAGGGUCCUUCUUCCCCCACAUCCUCAUCAGUGGGUUUGUUGUUGUUUGGUUGGUUGGUUUUGGCUUCUUGUUCAUUUGCCAUUGGCAUUCUUAAUGAUAGCCAUUCUGACUGGAGUGUGAUCUUAGUAGGCUUUCAAGGCUCAUCAGUUCUGUGGCCUGUGUGUCUCCUUUUCUUAUUGUCUAGGUGAUAUCUCUCUGUAUGGAUAUAUUGUAUUUUGCUUACCUGUCAAUCACUUGGUAGGCAUUUGAGCUAUUUCCACUCUGGGGUUAUUCUGAGUUAUGUUGAUACAAACAUGAAUGCCCAUGUUUCUGUGUGAGGUACAUUUUCAUCUCUGUACAGGAAUGACCAUCACCCCUACUACCACCCCAAAGGCUAAUAUGCUCUAGGCUUGGUCCAUAGUGUUGUGUACAGAGGUUGUGUUUUCAAGAAGUGACUGGACCAUGAGGGUGGUGACCUAAUCAAUGGAUUAAUUAAGUGAUAGUUUUAUAAUUGAUCAACUACUGGUUAUUGUGGAAAGGGUGGAGCCUGAAUGGAGGAGUGAGUCAUUGGCAUGGACUUUCUAAAGGGUAAAUCUUUCUCUUCUUGAGAGGGUAUUUUACUGUGUAACAGCUUUGACUACACUUGCUGUGUAGACCAGACUAGCAUUGAAUUAAUAAGAGAUCCACUUGCCUUUGCCUCCUGAGUGCUGGGAUUAAAGGUGUACCCCUCCCAUAUUCAACCUAUUUUUUUAAAUUUUUUUUUUUUGAGGCAUGAACAGUCUUUAUUGGGCUCACACAGAGUCCAUUGGCUUUGAAGACCUCAGCGAACUUGCUUUUUUUCUCUCUAUGUUUUUUUACUGACUUUCUGAGCCCCAUGAGCUACUGAUUCUUCUGGCAGUGUAUAUGUUCUCCUUAGCCUAUUCCUCUCUGAGUGUCUCUGCUUCUGGGGAGUACCAUGAGAUAAGCAGCCCCCUCCUCCAUGUUCUUCUGCCACCAUGACAGGACUUGCCUCUGGACAAAGGCAGUGGGGCCAGGGGGACCAUGGGCGAAACCUCUGGCCACAUGAACCCAGUAUCCCUUCUAUCCUCUUACGUUGAUUCCCUCUCUCAAGAAUUUUGUCCCAUUGAUGAAACAAUGCCUCACCGUUCAUUCAAUUAGAACAUGUCACAGAUAGGAAUGAUAAUAUAUGUGGCAAGGCUUUCCCGAAGACCACACUAGCACCUCUUCUCAGCAGUAGACAGACUCAUGAGGUUAAUUAAUGGGAAGGUAAACUCACCAGGAAUAAGACUUCGGUUCCCACGGAGCAGAGAACUCUAGGCUCUACCACUUAGCUACAUUGCCCUAGGGUGCAGAGCCUUAGAAGCACACUGCUGCAUUUUGAGACACCUCCAUAGACUUCCUGUCUGAUCCCUGCAUGUGCCCCGGAGGGCUAUAACUUAAUUAGAUCAAACUGUAAGCUGAGCCUCUCUUUUCUCCCCUUCAAUUGAAACAAGAGGAAAGAGGGAAAAAGAAAAAAAGCACCAUUCUGCCCCAAGUGUGCUUUGGGAAAUUUGAAGGAGGCAAAUGUAGCUGACUGGGAGCAAUUGUCUGGUUACUCUCUGAACUUUGCAGUUUCCUUCUAGCUUUGUGUGAAUCUUGGGACAGGGAACACCUUCAAGGUACGGUGUUUCUGAGCAGUUUUGCAACCUGCUCAGAGAAGUCCUCAUGGAAGAGUGAUCCAGGCCAGUCCCCAGAUCUCCUGCCCACCCCCCCUGACAUUUCAGGACCCCUGGUAAAAGCAUCCCAUCUCAAAUCUCAGUAAAGGGUGACCACGGAGAGUUAGGUGUUGUGUGUACAUCCUUUGGAGGCUUCUGUGCCAGCGAACAUGGCCUUAAGAUGCUCACAUCACACCUGCCCUGACCACCUCCACUCUCUCCUUCUUUGCUCUUUCCCCUUUCUCCCUUGUCUCAGGUUAGAGUCCUCGAACACAGACACUGAGAUGGAGACUUGUGUGCAAGGGAUAUAUGGAGAAGCGCUCCCGGAAAAACAUGGUUGGAGAGAGAGAGAGAGAGACAGAAGAGGCAGCAGGACACAUUAGGCAGAGCCACCGAAAAAAGCCUCUGCUGAACGCUACAAAGGCUCUGGAGGGUACAGCCCACAGCAGAGAUGCCCCACUCCACUCCAGGCCACGGAGAGGAGAGCACUGGUAUAGUCAUGUUCCAUCCAGCAUGGGUUCUUUAAAAUGCUCAAUUCUACUAUGGUGUGCAAUGAAGAAGGACCCAGUUUUGUUUUCAUCGAGCUGUGUGUGGAAGGCACGCUAUUACCGUCACCGAGGGAGAUGACAUCUCCAGUGAGCAUCACUGCCUUGCUUAAUGCCUCUUGUUACCAUCAGUCCUCACAGAAGGGACUCACAUCUGGAGAGGCAUUCGGAUCACUCCUAUGGUCUUUGAUAUUCUCAGCAUGGAGCGUGCACAUCUACAGGUCUUGGAUAUGGUGAGAAAGCACAGCACGGGCUCUGUGUGCAGACAUGCUUGUUAACUCCUUUAAAGUUAGAGCCCUCGACUUCCUUUCCUUCUUGAACAGCCAGAGCCUGGCGGUCUUACUCUCUGUUAUCUCUUGUUUUUGUUUGUUUUGGUUUGCUAGGGCAAGUAGGUUACUUCCUCGUGGAAUUUCCAGUGUUUGGAGUUGGAGAAUUCUCUCCUUCCUUCUUCUGUGGGCAGUGCCUUCUUUCCCCAUCCCUUUCCUUCACUCAUGCCCAGCAAAGCUGGAUGCUUUUGUCCCAGAGAGAACCAAGUGGUGGAUUCCAGCACACCCAACUAAAAGCUGUGAGCAGAACACCAUGACAUGUUUCUCAGCCCAUAGGUCAUAUUUUUGGCAAAUGGCUGCAUCCUGUUAACUGUCAUUCCCAUGGUGUUCUGCCUUUCCUUUCGUCUGACACAUGACUUUUCCUGGCUUUGGAAUGGUCCAUAUUGAUUAAAAUGGAAGGAAAACCAGUCACUCUCUACACUGAAAGUGGAGGCGACACAUUGCCAUCCCUGUGGGCAUUUCUCAGGAGAGAUAACUGGGCUAGGAUGGAGGUGACUCGGGAGGAAGGCUGUGUGAGAUUCUCUCCGGAGACAACUCAUUAUAAAGACUUCCAUUUUGGGGGCUACAAUAAUAAAUAAAACGACCCUACUUUAGCUCACAAAGUCUGUUGAACUCAAUUUUUGGACAUAGUGAAUGAACCUUCAGUUAAACAUCACUGUGGAUAAUACAGUGCAGGCACUGGGUGUUUUGGAGGGGAGGCCAAAUAUCAUUCUCUAAUUGUGUAAUAAACACAGACCAAAAGCAACUAAGUGGGGGGGGGUGCUUAUUCCAGCAUAGAGGUUACAUUUCAUCAUUGAGGGACGCCAAGGUAGGAAUGGAGUUUGAGGCAGGGACUUGAAGCAGAGUCCCUAGGCUCAUGUCCAUCUGCCUUUCUUCCACAUGUAUGUAUGGCCAUAUGCACAGAGGCGCUGCUAUCCACAGUGGGACGUGCCCUCCUAAGCUAAUUAGCAACCAAGAAAAUGCCUCACGGACUUGCCUGUCUUCCAAUCGGAUGGAGACAAUUGAAGUUUCCUCUUCCCAAGUGUGCCAAGCGGACAGCAAAGACUACCCAUCACAAAGCAUGACUGUGUGUAGCUUUCUGCUGUUCUGUCCUUCCUACUCCCUCUCUCUGCCUGCGUGUUUGUCUAUAAACUCUUUAUCCAUUCUCUCUCCAUCUUUCACCUGUCUGCCCCCUUCUGUUUUGCUGCUAUUCUCUAUUCUCUCAGUUUCCCUGUUGGAGCAAUACAGCACUCUGACCAAAGUAACUUAAGGACAAAAUCUCUUUCAUCUCACAGGCUCAUAUAGCCCACCAUGGUGUGGAUGCCCUGGCAGCAGGAGAUUGAAGCAGUUGGUUGUAUGAAGAGUUACAAGGAGUCAUGCUCAAUGGAGUCUCUCCAGUUUCUACAAUCAGGAUUGCCAGCCCAGAGAAUGGUGCCACCCACAGUGAUACAGAACUGUGGACACCUGCAUCCCUUCCUUUCCCUCCAGGACCUGUGGAUGGCUGGAGAGAUUAUUUUAUAGUACAUUCAAGACUUCUCACAUGCUAAUAAACACAGGAAUGACAUGGUUUUGAGAACACAGCUGUCCCAGAACAGGUGCAAGAAAAGCUACAGUCAAGGAUGCAUUCCAAUGUUGACUCAUCUCUUCCAGACACCUAUGUAAGCUAACAGGCUACGGAGAACUUCUGUUUCCACAAUCUCAGCACUAAGAAGCUGCUGUCUCUCCUCAUCAUCAAGGCUGCUCUGUGGAUCCUAUCUGUGGCAGUGCCAGGAAGCUUUUGGCAGGCCUUUUGCCCAGGAGCGUUCCAGGCUGUCUGUCUGAAGUCCAUGGGGUGAAGUGGUGAGACCACCUGGUCAGAGGCAGCCUGCUGGGCCUCAGCGUGGAAUCCUGGCUUCCCUCUAUCAUGUUUACAGAGCCGUGUCUGUCUGCUCAGCCUCCUAUGAGAUGAGAAUACCAGGCAGUCCUUAGUCACUCAGCAGUGAGUUCUGGUAAUUUUCCUCUGGGAGAAAGAGGGCUGGUUGCCAGCCUUAGAUUGUGUUCCCUCUGCUAUCCUCUCUGCUGUCAGCUGAUGAAAUAGGACUUUUGAUUUCCUCUUCUGUAUAUUCUCUGACACAGAGGCACUGGGGAAAGCAGGCUAGAGACUGCUACUAUGUUAGGGCUGCUGAGAAAUAUUCACAGAAAAAAAAAGAGUUAGACUCACUAGAUACUGAGAACACAGGCACACAAAUAUACUAAUGCUUAUGAAGAUGUUUUGCAUAUGUGCAUUUGUGUAGUCUUCUCCCCAAAGGAUUGCAAUGGUUAGGAAGAAAAGAGUAACAGCUCCUCCUUGUUAUCUUUAUUUUUCUGUAUCAAAAACAACAACAUCAUGGAGAUCAUGGGGAGAAAAAAGAUUGUGACCUCAAAUGUUUUCUCCUACACAUUUGCAGGGCUAGGCUUUAUAAGUAACCUGAGAUUUUCAUCUUUUAAAACAGACUAUCAAAUAAAUUUAAUCAAUCUUUUAUUUA